RNAcentral lists this ribosomal RNA (256 nucleotides) under uncultured beta proteobacterium. RNAcentral's name for it is "partial 16S ribosomal RNA". The record is from RNAcentral. Lineage: Bacteria; Pseudomonadati; Pseudomonadota; Betaproteobacteria.
GUUSCCAAGCCGCGAGGUGGAGCUAAUCCCAGAAAAUGCAUUGUAGUCCGGAUCGUAGUCUGCAACUCGACUACGUGAAGCUGGAAUCGCUAGUAAUCGCGGAUCAGCAUGCCGCGGUGAAUACGUUCCCGGGUCUUGUACACACCGCCCGUCACACCAUGGGAGUGGGCUUUACCAGAAGUAGUUAGCCUAACCGCAAGGAGGGCGAUUACCACGGUAGGGUUCAUGACUGGGGUGAAGUCGUAACAAGGUAGCC